CCUACGGGCUGCUGCAGUGAGGAAUCUUGGUCAAUGGGCGCGAGCCUGAACCAGCCCAGUCGCGUGAGGGAAGACGGUCCUAUGGAUUGUAAACCUCUUUUGUCGGGGAGCCAAAGACGCCACUCGUGGCGUUCCGAGCUUACCCGAAGAAAAAGCAUCGGCUAACUCCGUGCCAGCAGCCGCGGUAAUACGGAGGAUGCGAUCGUUCUCCGGAUUUAUUGGGUUUAAAGGGUGCGCAGGCGGAAGAUCAAUUCAGCGGUAAAAUUGAGAGGCUCAACCUCUUCGAGACGUUGAAACUGGUUUUCUUGAGUGAGCGAGAAGUAUGCGGAAUGCGUGGUGUAGCGGUGAAAUGCAUAGAGAUCACGCAGAACUCCGAUUGCGAAGGCAGCAUACCGGCGCUCAACUGACGCUCAUGCACGAAAGUGUGGGUAUCGAACAGGAUUAGAUACCCGAGUAGUC
RNAcentral lists this ribosomal RNA (459 nucleotides) under uncultured bacterium. Its description in RNAcentral is "partial 16S ribosomal RNA". It matches the Rfam family "Bacterial small subunit ribosomal RNA", at positions 338 to 795 of the family's 1533-position model. The record is from RNAcentral.